Molecule: non-coding RNA, 69 nt
Organism: Podarcis lilfordi (Lilford's wall lizard)
Lineage: Eukaryota; Metazoa; Chordata; Lepidosauria; Squamata; Lacertidae
Source: the annotation of a GenBank genome assembly
GCUGUAGCUUAGUGGCAGAGCAUAUGCUUUGUGUGCAGAAGACCCCAGGUUCACUCCCAAGCAUCUCCA